GACGAACGCUGGCGGCGUGCUUAACACAUGCAAGUCGAACGGAAAGGCCCUGCUUUUGUGGGGUGCUCGAGUGGCGAACGGGUGAGUAACACGUGAGUAACCUGCCCUUGACUUUGGGAUAACUUCAGGAAAAUGGGGCUAAUACCGGAUAGGAGCUCCUGCUGCAUGGUGGGGGUUGGAAAGUUUCGGCGGUUGGGGAUGGACUCGCGGCUUAUCAGCUUGUUGGUGGGGUAGUGGCUUACCAAGGCUUUGACGGGUAGCCGGCCUGAGAGGGUGACCGGCCACAUUGGGACUGCGAUACGGCCCAGACUCCUACGGGAGGCAGCAGUGGGGAAUAUUGCACAAUGGGCGGACGCCUGAUGCAGCAACGCCGCGUGCGGGAUGACGGCCUUCGGGUUGUAAACCGCUUUCGCCUGUGACGAAGCGUGAGUGACGGUAAUUGGUAAAGAAGCACCGGCUAACUACGUG
Molecule: ribosomal RNA, 468 nt
Filed under: uncultured bacterium
Lineage: Bacteria
Description: partial 16S ribosomal RNA
Rfam family: Bacterial small subunit ribosomal RNA
Source: RNAcentral